Molecule: ribosomal RNA, 254 nt
Filed under: uncultured bacterium
Lineage: Bacteria
Description: partial 16S ribosomal RNA
Rfam family: Bacterial small subunit ribosomal RNA
Source: RNAcentral
UACGUAGGUGGCAAGCGUUUGUCCGGAUUUACUGGGCGUAAAGAAUGCGUAGGCGGAUAUUUAAGUCAGAUGUGAAAUCCCCGGGCUCAACUUGGGGGCUGCAUUUGAAACUGGAUAUCUAGAGUGCGGGAGAGGAGAGUGGAAUUCCUAGUGUAGCGGUGAAAUGCGUAGAGAUUAGGAAGAACACCAGUGGCGAAGGCGACUCUCUGGACCGUAACUGACGCUGAGGCAUGAAAGCGUGGGGAGCAAACAGG